RNAcentral lists this unclassified non-coding RNA (209 nucleotides) under plant metagenome. RNAcentral's name for it is "partial contains small subunit ribosomal RNA, internal transcribed spacer 1, and 5.8S ribosomal RNA". The record is from RNAcentral.
CGUAGGUGAACCUGCGGAAGGAUCAUUCAUAAUAAGUGUUUUAUGGCACUUUUUUAAACCCAUAUCCACCUUGUGUGGAAUGUCAGGGUUGAUUUUUCUCUCGAGAGGAUCAGCCCCAAACAUCAACUAUAUCUCAACUCUUUGUCUGAAAAAUAUUAUUAAUAAAACAAUUCAAAAUACAACUUUCAACAACGGAUCUCUUGGCUCUC